This 125-nucleotide small RNA is filed under the name Marmota monax (woodchuck). Lineage: Eukaryota; Metazoa; Chordata; Mammalia; Rodentia; Sciuridae. The record is from RNAcentral.
GCCGGGUAUGGUGGCAUACGCCUGUAAUCCCAGCAGCUCGGGAGGCUGAGACAGGAGGAUUGCAAGGUUAAAGCCAGCCUCAGCAAAAGCCAGCCACUAAGCAACUCAGUGAGACCCUGUCUCUA